RNAcentral lists this ribosomal RNA (474 nucleotides) under unidentified nematode Sourhope farm. RNAcentral's name for it is "SSU rRNA". It matches the Rfam family "Eukaryotic small subunit ribosomal RNA", at positions 58 to 529 of the family's 1831-position model. Lineage: Eukaryota; Metazoa; Nematoda. The record is from RNAcentral.
UCUAAGCACAUGCCUUAAUACGGUGAAGCCGCGAAUAGCUCAUUACAACAGCCACCGUUUACUAGAAAAUAGUUAUCCUACUUGGAUAACUGUGGCAAUUCUAGAGCUAAUACAUGCAAAAAAGCUCUGCCCGCAAGGAACGAGCGCAUUUAUUAGAAUAAAAACCAAUCGGGUUUCGGCCCGUAAUUUGGUGAAUCUGAAUAACUUUGCCAAUCGCACAGUCCUAGUACUGGCGAUGUAUCUUUCAAGUGUCUGCCUUAUCAACUUUCGAUGGUAGGUUAUACGCCUACCAUGGUAGUAACGGGUAACGGAGAAUAAGGGUUCGACUCCGGAGAGGGAGCCUGAGAAACGGCUACCACAUCCAAGGAAGGCAGCAGGCGCGCAAAUUACCCACUUCCAGAACGGAGAGGUAGUGACGAAAAAUAACGAGACAGUCCUCUUCGAGGUCUGUCAUCGGAAUGGGUACAAUUUAAA